UAUUACCCUCCCCAGACCCCACCUGGUGGGAGUAUACUGGGUAGUUGUUGUUAUUGUUGUUGCCUAGCUUUGUAAAAUAUAGCUACAGGAGGUACCAAAGAAAAUUUUACGUUAGAUUUUUCCCUUACUUAAUAAUGCUCUUUUGUUUUGUUUUGUUUUUUGUUUUUCCUCUCCUUCACUGAGCCGAGGGUCGAUUGGAAACAGCCUCUCUGCCCUUUCGGGUAGGGGUAAGGCUCGUCUACGUAUUACCCACCCCAGACCCCACUUUGUGGAAUAUUACUGGGUAGUUAUUGUUGUUGUAUUUUUCCCUACGUAGAAAGCUCUAUUUGGUUAAUAUUGUUACUUUCUAUAAUGUUUUCUGGUUUGGAAGUAAAUGUUACAAUUCACGAAAAGAUUACUUCCUAGCGAACACUUAGGAGUCGUUUGGUUGGAAUAUAAUUUAUAUCGAUAUAACUUAUGUCGUUAAAAGUUAUAUUAAGAUAAAUUAUGUUGGGAUUAGUUAU
RNAcentral lists this long non-coding RNA (503 nucleotides) under Nicotiana benthamiana. Its description in RNAcentral is "long non-coding RNA (NBEN_LNC041003)". Lineage: Eukaryota; Viridiplantae; Streptophyta; Magnoliopsida; Solanales; Solanaceae. The record is from RNAcentral.